This 440-nucleotide ribosomal RNA is filed under the name uncultured bacterium. RNAcentral's name for it is "partial 16S ribosomal RNA". It matches the Rfam family "Bacterial small subunit ribosomal RNA", at positions 338 to 795 of the family's 1533-position model. The record is from RNAcentral.
CCUACGGGAGGCAGCAGUGGGGAAUAUUGCACAAUGGGGGAAACCCUGAUGCAGCGACGUCGCGUGAGUGAUGAAGUAUUUCGGUAUGUAAAGCUCUAUCAGCAGGGAAGAAAAUGACGGUACCUGACCAAGAAGCCCCGGCCAACUACGUGCAAGCAGCCGCGGUAAUACGUAGGGGGCAAGCGUUAUCCGGAUGUACUGGGUGUAAAGGGAGCGUAGACGGCGGUGCAAGCCAGUUGUGAAAGCCCGGGGCCCACCCCCGGGACUGCAUUUGGAACUGUGUGGCUAGAGUGUCGGAGAGGCAGGCGGAAUUCCUAGUGUAGCGGUGAAAUGCGUAGAUAUUAGGAGGAACACCAGUGGCGAAGGCGGCCUGCUGGACGAUAACUGACGUUGAGGCUCGAAAGCGUGGGGAGCAAACAGGAUUAGAUACCCGUGUAGUC